Molecule: unclassified non-coding RNA, 240 nt
Filed under: soil metagenome
Description: partial contains 5.8S ribosomal RNA, internal transcribed spacer 2, and large subunit ribosomal RNA
Source: RNAcentral
AACGAGGCCGACCUGCGGCUGAGUUACCUGCGGAAGGAUCAUUACACAAUACAAUAUGAAGGCUGUCCGCAGCUGGAGUAUUUUAUUACCCUUGUCUUUUGCGCACUUGUUGUUUCCUGGGCGGGUUCGCUCGCCACCAGGACCACCAAAUAAACCUUUUUUAUGCAGUUGCAAUCAGCGUCAGUACAAACAAUGUAAAUCAUUUACAACUUUCAGCAACGGAUCUCAGAUCGGAAGAGC